CUUAUUUAUUUCUAUCAUUAAAGGUAUAUGUGAGAGAUUAAUCUUCUUUAAAGGCACAAGUAUUACUUCUUUGUGUGAGUUCUUAUGCUGUCAAUUAGUCUAGUCAUUUCUUGUCCUAUUGAACUUAUUAAUAUCAAAAAAAUUAUUAGCAUUUGUUAAAGAUUUUUAAUCUUUAUUCUCUUCAAGGCUAUACAAUGUUGCUCACUCAAGACUUUUUUGUUUCAAAUCCUUAAGAUCCAUUCUAUCUCUACUAAUUCUAUUUUUAUAAUUGUGAUUGUAUCUAUCUCUCUUUGUCAAAUUAUCAAGGCUAACAAAAAAACCAAUUGUAGGAGUCUUCUUUAAAAUUUUUGUUAUUCCUCCUACCAAUGGUAGUCCCAAGUCUUUUCAAUUAAGAAGGAUGAUUUUUUCUUGUAAGAUCAAUUUUUUUUUUUUGCUUGUUUGUAUAUUUUAUUAGUAGCAUUAUUUAGGAUUGAGUGAUUGUUGGUUCAAUUGGCCAUUGGUAUCAGAUUCCUAAAUAUUUUGAUAUCAUAUUACAAGAUUGACAAACAAUACAUAUAUUAGAUUGGUAGAUUA
Molecule: long non-coding RNA, 573 nt
Filed under: Physcomitrium patens
Lineage: Eukaryota; Viridiplantae; Streptophyta; Bryopsida; Funariales; Funariaceae
Description: long non-coding RNA (PPAT_LNC014430)
Source: RNAcentral